CCUACGGGUGGCAGCAGUGGGGAAUAUUGGGCAAUGGGCGCAAGCCUGACCCAGCAACGCCGCGUGAAGGAAGAAGGCUUUCGGGUUGUAAACUUCUUUUCUCAGGGACGAAGCAAGUGACGGUACCUGAGGAAUAAGCCACGGCUAACUACGUGCCAGCAGCCGCGGGAAUACGUAGGUGGCAAGCGUUAUCCGGAUUUACUGGGUGUAAGGGGCGUGUAGGCGGGACUGGAAGUCGGAGGUGAAAGCCACGGGCUCAAGAUGUGGCCUGCAUUUGAAACUGUAGUUCUGGAGUACUGGAGAGGCAGACGGAAUUCCUAGUGUAGCGGUGAAAUGCGUAGAUAUUAGGAGGAACACCAGUGGCGAAGGCGGUCUGCUGGACAGCAACUGACGCUGAGGCGCGAAAGCGUGGGGAGCAAACAGGAUUAGAUACCCUUGUAGUC
RNAcentral lists this ribosomal RNA (443 nucleotides) under uncultured bacterium. Its description in RNAcentral is "partial 16S ribosomal RNA". It matches the Rfam family "Bacterial small subunit ribosomal RNA", at positions 338 to 795 of the family's 1533-position model. The record is from RNAcentral.